RNAcentral lists this ribosomal RNA (483 nucleotides) under uncultured bacterium. RNAcentral's name for it is "partial 16S ribosomal RNA". It matches the Rfam family "Bacterial small subunit ribosomal RNA", at positions 28 to 523 of the family's 1533-position model. The record is from RNAcentral.
GACGAACGCUGGCGGCGUGCUUAACACAUGCAAGUCGAACGAUGAAGCUGGAGCUUGCUCCGGUGGAUUAGUUGCGAACGGGUGAGUAACACGUGAGCAAUCUGCCCUUCACUCUGGGAUAACUGCGGGACACUGUAGCUAAUACCGGAUACGAGGCUUGGAGGCAUCUCCAGGUCUGGACAGAAUCUCGGUGAAGGAUGAGCUCGCGGCCUAUCAGCUUGUUGGUGAGGUAAUGGCUCACCAAGGCGACGACGGGUAGCCGGCCUGAGAGGGUGACCGGCCACACUGGGACUGAGACACGGCCCAGACUCCUACGGGAGGCAGCAGUGGGGAAUAUUGCACAAUGGGCGAAAGCCUGAUGCAGCAACGCCGCGUGAGGGAUGAAGGCCUUCGGGUUGUAAACCUCUUUUAGCAGGGAAGAAGCGAAAGUGACGGUACCUGCAGAAAAAGCACCGGCUAACUACGUGCCAGCCGCCGCCGUAA